GCGGUCCAAUGAGAAUCCCUGUGAAACACGGACUGAAGGAGCAGAAUGGGUUGGUCGUGAGAGCACUGGAGAGGAAAUGAUGUCUCAUGCUGUGACACAGGGGGUUCAAAGUGAUGAGUCACGUGUACCACAGGUAUAUGCAGACGUAGUAAAGAGAGGAUGUCACAGUGAUGACUCAUGUACAGCAGGACCUUCUAAUGUCAAGCAGGUGAACCUUACAGGUCAAAGUGAAGAGUCAUGUGAACCAGAGGUAUCUAAUGAAAAUACAAUAAAGAGAGGAGAACCCAUUAAAGAUCCAUGUGCAGCAGGACCUUCUAAUGCAGAGUGCGUAGACCCUGGAGAUCAGCCUUCUGAACAACAUGUGCGUGCAUCCCACAGCCAGGCUUCUAUCAGAUAUGGCAGAUCCAGAAAUCGGCAGUGCACCUCUAACUCACUGACCUUUCUUGCAUUCCUUCAUGAGAAUGAAAACAUCACCAGAGCAGACCUGGACCAUGUUUUGGAUAAAGGUAACAAGGUAACACGAUGUAUAGAGAGACCAGGAAACGAGUCACUAAUCACAUCUAUCUGACCACCGAUGAGCUCACUGAUGAAGUUCCUGCACGCAGCGCUACACACUAUGUCAACAUGACUCAGCUUUCAAGGUACGGCACAUUAGGAGAACCUUUACCUGGAGCUGUGGACAGCUUCCUGGACCUGGAGUCAGGACUCAGCUGCUUGUUAUCUGAUGUGAAGUACGCUCUGCUGUUGAUGAGACUCUUGUGUAUCGCAGUGUUCAGAACCAAGUCCGGCAGAUAUGGUUUCUUUGACCCACACUCCAGGACAGCCAGAGGUUUGCCCCUACCAGCCGGUUCACGCACACCAGGUACUGCUGUCAUGGUGACAUUCUCACGUCUCAGUGACAUGAUUGACAGGCUCAAGAAGUCCCACAGAAUGAUGGACACAGAGUCCUCGUGUACCUAUGAGUUGAAGCCUGUGGAGUUCUACAACAUGAACACAGUCAACCUGAACGAUGGUCUCCCAAACACAGACUGCAGACCCACAGCUGUCCCUGUGGAUGAAUCAAGCUCACCUACUCUAAUGAGAAACACGGACACUGAUCAGACCAUUUCACCUGAAAUGACUCCUCACACUCCAGCUGUAAAACAACCAGAGGUCUUCAUCACAACACAUGAUGCUCCUCACAAUGAAUCAGAAUCAACUGCUGAAGUGAUAAACCCUGUUCCCAGUGAUCUCUCUGACAACAUAUUGACAGCAGAGUACAGUGACGUCAUCUUUACAUCAUCGGUGAGACAACAAGAGGUCAUAUUCCCUGAUGCCCCGAAUGAACCACAACUGUCAAGUCAAGCCACUUUGCUUCCAUCACAUGACGCUUCUCUCAAUGAACAAAAUAUUUCUUCUUCAGUAGAAAUGACUGUUGCCAGUGAUUUAUCUAAUAUUCUAUUAGAGGGAAUCUCAUGUAAACUGACAAAGUGUAAUAAAAACAAAAGGAGAAAAAUGAAGAGCAGACUAAUGACCUCAGAGAAAACUCAACAAAGAAAAGAGAUUAAGAAAAGAAAAGAAAGGGAACGGUAUGCUUCAAAUAAAGCAUAUAAAGCAGAAAAAAUAUCUCAUUCAAAAAGGCAAUACCAGAACGAUCCGGAAUUUAGACGAAAGAAAAUAAAUAAUACAAGAGACAACGUUGACUUAAAAAACAAACGGAAAGAGUACAUUUCAAACAGGUACAAAGAAAAUGCUGAUUUUAGACAGAAAAAAAAAAAAUCUUGAUCUCUCGUUACAGAAAUAAUCCAGAAUUUAGAGAGAAACAAAAACAGCACUUUACGGACCGCUACAGAGACAAUGCUGAGUUUAGAAAAGAAAAAAAACUGUACUUCACUGCUUUUUAUAAAGAUAGCAUUGAUUAUAGAGAAAGGAAGAGAUCUCAUAUUAUUCAGCGUUAUGCCCAUGACCAGGCAUUCAGACUGAGACACAAACAACUAAUGAAACAACGAAUGAAAGACAAAUAUAAAAACAAUCCUACAUAUUGGAGUAUGCAGAACAUGAAAUGUGCCAUGAAAAUAAAAAGGAAAUACAGAGGGAUAAAUAAACCAACAGAAGAAAGUGACAACAGUUUGAUCAAAGAGGCCAUGUCUGUUUUCAGGUCCCAUAUAAAGGCCGGUCCCACUUAUGUUUGCACCGUCUGUCACAAAGCAUCAUUUCCAAACCAAGUGAGACCCUGUAAGAGGUUAAACUAUGUAAGAAAUCCAGACAUAGUAGCAUGAUGCCUGACAGGAAAGUACGUCCAUGUGUGUGAUGAUGAGUGCAGCGAUGAACAACAGUGCAAUGUGCCUGAUGAGAGAAAGGACGAGUGGAUCUGUCACACCUGCCACAAUCAUCUUAAAGAUGGAGUCAUGCCAACACUCGCUGUAGCCAACAACUUGGAGCUCGCUGACAUUCCACCUGAACUGUGUGACCUCAACAUAUUGGAGAGACAUCUCAUAGCCAAGUGCAUAGCGUUUGCAAAGAUCAUUCCUCUUCCCAAAGGACGACAGAGAGCGAUACAUGGCAAUGUGGUUUGUGUCCCGUCUGAGGUGCAGGAAACAGUGGAAGCGUUACCCAGACUGAGAAGUGAGUCUCAAGUGAUGAGAGUAAAGCUGAAGAGACGAUUGUGUUACAGAGGUCAUCAGCUCUUCCAGACGGUCACCUGGUCUAAACUAGUGCAGGCGCUGCAUUAACUCAAACGCAUUCAUCCACAAUAUCAGGACAUCACUAUCAGAGAUGAGGCUGAGCUAUGUGACCCAACACUUCAAGAUGAGGAUGAUGAUGAGGAUGCCUCUAUGGAUGAGAACGACUAUGAUGAUGCUGAUUUAAAGGAAAUUGACAUGUGUGAGAAAAGUGCACUGUGUGAGACGGAAACUGAGCUUGAUGGAGAGCAGGAUGUGGACAUGUUGUCUUGUGAUGGUGAACAACCAGAGGAGCAAAGAGAUGAUGAAGAACAGGAAGGUGACAUGUUGUCUUGUGAUGGUGAACAACCAUAGGAGCAAAGAGAUGAAGAAGAACAGGAUGGUGACAUGCCUAACGGUGGUUUUGCUCUAGAAUCAUGUCUUCAGCCGUGUGAUGUUUCAGAGGAGAUUUUAUGUUUCAGUGAAGGAAUCUACUCGGUUGGCCCUGCAGUAAGUAACAGUCCAGUUAGUUUCUUCAAAACUCCUAAACUUGAGGCGAUGGCUUUCCCUGUGCAGUUCCCUACAGGUCAAAACACACUGGAUGAAGGGAGACGUAUGAAAGUAACACCCAGCAGUUAUUUCAAAGUGAGGCUUUUCUGUGUUGAUGAUCGUUUUGCCAGAGACACAAACUAUUUGUUCUUUGCUCAGUUUGUGACUGAAAUACACUUGGCCACAUCCAGCAUGACAAUACAGUUGAGGAAAGGAAAGCCAAUGACUCGAGAUGGACGAAAUAUAACUUCUGGUAUGCUGCAGAAUAAACGAGAGGUAGAGAAACUGGUGAGGAACAAAGAUGCAGUCAGAUUCAUGCAGCCGCUAAGAGGAACACCAGCCUACUGGGAGAAAACCACACGAGACCUUUUUGCCAUGAUCAGACAGUUGGGAACUCCCACAUUCUUUUGUACAUUUUCUGCCGCUGAGAUGCGUUGGCCUGAAGUGAUUGAAGCAAUAAAAAGACAACAAGAUGAGGAGGUGAAUUUUGAAGGGCUCGACUGGUCAGCAAAGUGUGACAUUCUGAGAAGCAAUCCAGUGACAACAAUGCGCAUGUUUGAUAAGCGUGUUGAGGCCUUAUUCAGAGAUCUGCUCUUAUCUCCUGCACAGCCUCUUGGCAAAGUUGUUGACUACUUUUACCGAGUUGAGUUUCAGCACAGAGGAAGCCCACACAUUCACUGUCUCAUAUGGGUAGAAGGUGCACCUGUGUUUGAGGAGGAUGAUGAUCAGACUGUGUCAGCUUUUGUUUCCAAAUACAUCACAGCUCAGCUACCUGAUCCACGCAGACAACCUGAACUACACAAGAAGGUCACAGAGGUGCAAAUGCACAGCAAAAAACACUCACGGACAUGUUUCAGAAGUCCCAGCUCGGGUUGCAGAUUUGGUUUUCCUAAACCACCUUCCAGUAAGACAAUGAUAUCGAGACCUGGUGAGGGCGUUGCUCCACUGCAACUGCAAAUAGCAAAGUCCAAGCUCCAACCACUGAACUUGUUGCUGAAUGAACCUGAAACUGCCUCACUCAGUUUGCAGCAGCUCCUCGCUAAAUGCAACUUAACACUCCAAGAGUAUGAAGGAUGCCUCAGUGUGAUUAACAAAUCCAGUGCGGUGAUCUUGAAACGUGAGCCAAAAGACUGCUGGGUAAAUGGAUAUAAUCCACAUCUACUUGAAGCCUGGGAUGCCAAUAUUGAUGUCAGUUAUAUUCUCAAUGCAUAUUCGUGCAUCAUGUAUCUCACCAGCUACAUCACCAAAAAGGAAUCUGGACUUUCUGAGUACCUCAAAACAGUCAUUGAAAACUCCACCAGAGACCACGUCAAUGAAUGUGAUGACAUGAGGGAAAUCAUGCAGGCAUACUCUAAAAAGAGAGAGGUCAGUGCUCAGGAGCGUGUGACUCGAGCAUGUGGAAUAAACAUGAAGAAGUGUUCACGUGGUGUCAUAUUCGUACCUACGGAUGACAACGCACUGAAAGUGAGUCGCCCCAUGUCUUACCUGGAGAACACAACAUUAGAAAGUGUAAAUGUGUGGAUGACAUCUUUGACAGACAAAUACAAAGCCAGACCAGAAACACCAGAGUUUGAGCAGAUGUGUUUGGCUGAUUUCGCAGCUACUUGCAGGAUUGUCUAUGGCCAGCAGAAAAAAGGAAAAGAUGUGUUGCCCCUCCUCAAUGAGAUGGGAUUUGUGCAAAAGCGUAAAAAUGAUAAGCCUGCUAUCAUCAGAUUUUACCGCUGCUCACAGGAAAAAUAUCCAGAGAAGUUUUAUGGCACAUUACUGAAACCGUACAUUCCUCACCGAUCAGACUUGGAACUGAAAAGACCGCAUUUCCCCACGUACAAGUCCUUCUAUAAAAAUGGUUGCGUCCAACUACCAGGUUCUGACUAUGCUGAGUAUGUCCAACACAUUGUGAAACGAAACAAAGACAAGUAUGAAAAAAACAGUGAGGAGAUUGAAAAUGCAGUCGAAGAAUUUGAACAGAACAGAGGACUGAUUGAUGAAUGGUGCAAUCUGGCUCCAGAAUCUGAAGUGGAGAGGUUGGAAUGUAUCGAAGAACUGGAGGCAAGAGAGCCAGAUCAUGAAAGUGUUCAAGAAAAUGUUCCAGAAUACAGUAAUCAGGCUGAUGCUGCAACAGAAGCUCGAGCCAUCAGAGAGCCUCCUGCCUUUGACCCCACACUGCUACGGCAGAUGUAUCAGAACCUGAACCAGAAACAAGCAUGUGUAUUCUAUGCAGUCAGAGACUGGUGCGUAAAGCGUGUCUGUGGCCUAAAUCCUGAGCAGUUUUUCUUUUACAUCAAUGGUGGUGCUGGAACAGGAAAGUCACAUCUGAUUAAAUGCAUCUACUCAGAAGCAUCUAAGAUACUGUGCAAAGUGCCCAGCCAUUCUGAGGAGGUGGACAUAUCAAACCCUACGGUCCUGCUGACAGCUUUCACUGGAACUGCAGCCUUUAAUAUAUCAGGAUCAACACUGCACUCUCUGCUCAAACUUCCACGAAGUCUGAAACCUCCAUUUCAAGGACUUGGUAACCAACUGGAUGAAGUCCGAUCAGAACUUUUAAAUGCUGAAAUCUUUGUCAUUGAUGAAGUAUCUAUGGUGUAAAAACCCCUGUUUGCUUAUGUGGAUGCAAGACUGAAACAGAUCAUAGGUAGUCCCAAACCCUUUGGAGGAAUGUCAGCAAUAGCGAUUGGAGACUUUUAUCAGCUGCCACCAGUUCGACAGUCCAAGACCCUCUGUGUGUACGAGCCCUGUGAGAUUGAUCUUUGGCAGGAACACUUUCAGACAACACCCUUGACUGAGAUAAUGCGGCAGAAGGACGUUGCCUUUGCAGAGAUGUUGAAUUGGAUCCGUGUGAAAGGAAAGUCAGAUGAGUUGUCUCAAGCAGACAGAGCCUUGUUGUCGCAGACCAUCACUGAACCAUCACUUUGUCCACCUGAUGUCCUGCACAUCUUUGCAACUAAUAAACAGGUUGAUUCACACAACUCAGUAACAUUAGCUCUGCUCCAUUCUAAUAUCACCAAGAUCGAUGCAGAUGACUACAAGAAAGACCCACACACUGGAAGAAUGGCUCGACAAGCCGAACCAUACAAAGGAAACAGAAACGAGUUACCAGAUGCACUAAACCUAGCUGAAGGGGCUCGAGUCAUGCUCACCAGAAACAUAGACGUGUCUCAGGGAUUGGUGAAUGGGUCGUUUGCUACACUAGUCAGGGUGAUAACCUCAGAACAGAGUGGUGUUGCACAUGUCACUAUGCUCGGCCUUAAGAUGGAUGAUCAAACUGCUGGAAGGAAUUACCGUAAUAGAGCAUCAGGCGGCCCUGAUGAUGUGGUGUAUAUAGAGAGAGCAGAGGAUAAUCUGAAACAGAAAGGAGUGGUACGCAGACAGUUUCCUGUUAGACUUGCCUUCGCCUGUACCAUACACAAGGUUCAGGGUAUGACAAGGACAUCAGCUGUAGUGUCACUGAAACACAUUUUUGAACCUGGCAUGGCUUAUGUAGCUAUCAGUAGAGUGACCUCUCUCAGUGGACUGCACAUGCUGGAUCUGGAUGAGAGUAAAAUCUAUGCCAAUCCAGAAAUCACUGGAGCACUCGAGACCAUGAGACAAGUCAACUUGGACGACAUGAUGCCUCUUCUUUGUAUGACACAGACAUUGAGCAGACGAGACACUCUGACCAUUGUUCACCAUAACACGGAAGGUUUGCCAUCUCACAUCAAUGACAUCAGGAGCCAUCAUGAACUGUGUCUUGCAGAUGUUUUGUGUCUCACAGAAACUCACCUUCAAGGCUCCUUUGUUGCAGAGAGUCUUCAUUUAGAGGGCUACAACAUGUUUAAACGCAAUAGACACCUGUCUUACACAAAUUUUCCACAAAUAGCCAACAGAGGUGGUGGUGGAGUUGCUGUUUAUGUGCAAAGCCACAUUCAAGUGCGUGAGAAACAGUACGUAAAUAAUGUAACCGAUCUUGAGUUUGUGGCUCUGAAGGUAGAAGCCCCAGCGAGUGCCCUGAUUGCAGCUGUGUACAGACCUCCAGACUACAGUGUGAGAUCAUUCCUGUCCAACCUGGAGAACCUUCUGGACUCAUUGGAGAUCAUGGACUGUCAGCCCAUCAUUGUCUGUGGGGAUUUCAACGAGAAUCUCUUCUCCAACACUGCACACUACACAGGUUGGCGUCUGCGUGGGCAAUCAUGGCAAAGUCGACUGGACCACAGCGGAAAAUGAUCCUUCCAGAGAAGAAGUUAUUUACUUCUCUCCGCUCAGAACUUAUGUGACCUACUGCGUUUAUUUUCUUCUUUAGCUCUCAUUUCAGUAUUAAAAUUUGCUGUAUUUUUGCAAGAGGGGCACCAAUCCUAUUUGAGUGACGUUUCGAAUUGUACUUGUAUUAGAGCAGACAGCUCAUCUGCAGAGCGUUGGCCUCUGGUGCAGUAGAUGAGGGUUUGAUUCUUGGCAUGUUAAUACUUCUUCUACUUCUGUUUAAUGAAUCCAGAAUGUAAUAUUUGUUCAGUAUCCAGGGGCAGUGAUUUAUUUAGUCAUGUUUUACAUAUUUUGUUUUUUUACAUGAGAAUAUGCUUCGGUACAUGCUGAGUUAAUGAAUAUACAUUCUAAAGUGCAAUGUUCAUAUGUGAAUAAGAGUUGUAUACUUUUUAUGAUAGUCAUUAUGGUGUGGAAAUGUCUCAUGUAGUUGGUCAAUUGGAACUAUAUUAGGCAGUAAUAACAGCUAAGCUUUUAAUCUUAAAACAAAAAAGGAUAACUCUGUUGGACAACUACUCAAUUGUCUUGACGACAUAUAGGCCUGGAUGGCUUGAAACUUUUUUUAAUUUUAAUGACUUAGGUCAAUGCAAAGUUUCUACAUGGCUUAACUGAUUCAAACUGAACUUACCAAUAUAUUAAGCCCUGGAGGAGGAGCGUAUCUUAGUCAAUGUAUUAUUAAUUAUUACAUUCAGCAAAGCUCUCUUCAGGAAGACAGCCACGUCGUCAUCCAGCGGGUUUGGUUAAAAAGUUAACACAUCUUGAUGGAGCAAAAGAGGUGGGGUUAGCUGUCGUCCUUGUACCUCGACUAAUCCAAGGUGAUCCUACGUUUCGAUAUUGCAUCAAGCUAAAGAAUCAAACAAUAACAUUUAAGAUCCAACAGCUAACCGUUACGCGCUCUCCACUUCUUACAGAGCACUUUAAACAUGGUCAUGUUAUCGCCUGAAGCCAGACACUGAAUCCACAACUCCCGUGUUUUACAGAGACUCAAACGGGUGUGACUUGACUGUAUAAAAACGUGAUCUUCAAUAAACGAAUGACUUUCCGUACGACAAGGUCUGUGACAACUGCCUGAUCGAGGGUCGUCACAUGUAGGGGCCCGGUUCACGCGACGCCCCAGGUCGACCUUCUGAUUUCCCGACACGAGUCCGGCAGACCGCUGCCCACCCCGCCGUGCGAGAAUAGGCGAAGGCCCGUUCAUUGCUGCUUGCAGCUUUAAUUAGGGCCUGAGCCGACUGAAAGUCAGGCGAAAGCCCUAUUGUUUUUCCAAGAAUUCUUCUUAUUAUUAUUAGGGCCUGAGCCAACUGAAAGUCGGGCGAAAGCCCUAUUGUUUUUGCAAGAAUUCUUAUUAUUAUUAUUAUUAGGGCCUGAGCCGACUGAAAGUCGCAAGUGUGAUUUAACUUAAUUUUUAUUUAACCUUAUUUAUGUCUAUUGAUAUAGUUUUGUUAUAAGCACAACAUACGGUUGUAUACUGUUUUCUAUAUAGUGUCUUAUUAUAUGCAGCGAGUAAAAUAUUGAUAAAUGUAGCAUGGUGCAAUAUUGAUUUUGGGUUACAAUAAAAACAUUUUACAUCAUGAUUAUUUUGGCAUUUCAUUCAAAGGGACACACUAACUUCUAGAUGGCUUGCGAGUCACCGAGUGCAAAACUGUGGGGGGGAGACAGCCAUGACUGACAGCUGUACUUCAAAGCCAGAUCCACCCUUUUUUGGCACCAACAUGAAGUGCAGAAGGGCCUACAUGCGUAACCUGAUCUCUUUCAAUUGGUGUGAACUUGUGAACUUACUGCACU
Molecule: RNA transcript, 9203 nt
Organism: Pungitius pungitius (ninespine stickleback)
Lineage: Eukaryota; Metazoa; Chordata; Actinopteri; Perciformes; Gasterosteidae
Exons: 2
Source: RefSeq, a predicted model, not a curated record